This 484-nucleotide ribosomal RNA is filed under the name uncultured bacterium. RNAcentral's name for it is "partial 16S ribosomal RNA". It matches the Rfam family "Bacterial small subunit ribosomal RNA", at positions 29 to 507 of the family's 1533-position model. The record is from RNAcentral.
AUUGGACGCUGGCGGCAUGCUUUACACAUGCAAGUCGAACGGCAGCACGGGGGCAGCCCUGGUGGCGAGUGGCGAACGGGUGAGUAAUACAUCGGAACGUGCCCGGUCGUGGGGGAUAACGUAGCGAAAGUUACGCUAAUACCGCAUACGAUCUGAGGAUGAAAGCGGGGGACCUUCGGGCCUCGCGCGAUCGGAGCGGCCGAUGUCAGAUUAGGUAGUUGGUGGGGUAAAGGCCUACCAAGCCGACGAUCUGUAGCUGGUCUGAGAGGACGACCAGCCACACGGGGACUGAGACACGGCCCAGACUCCUACGGGAGGCAGCAGUGGGGAAUUUUGGACAAUGGGCGCAAGCCUGAUCCAGCCAUUCCGCGUGCAGGACGAAGGCCUUCGGGUUGUAAACUGCUUUUGUACGGAACGAAAAGGCUCUGGCUAAUACCUGGGGCUCAUGACGGUACCGUAAGAAUAAGCACCGGCUAACUACGUG